ACAAUGAUACUUCCGGCGACGGCUGUCCACAGGAAUGGGCGGGGGUCAUAUCCCAUGG
RNAcentral lists this non-coding RNA (58 nucleotides) under unclassified sequences. RNAcentral's name for it is "pemK RNA". It matches the Rfam family "pemK RNA". The record is from RNAcentral.